This 69-nucleotide transfer RNA is filed under the name Ictidomys tridecemlineatus (thirteen-lined ground squirrel). Its description in RNAcentral is "Spermophilus tridecemlineatus (thirteen-lined ground squirrel) tRNA". It matches the Rfam family "tRNA". Rfam says of the family: Transfer RNA (tRNA) molecules are approximately 80 nucleotides in length. Their secondary structure includes four short double-helical elements and three loops (D, anti-codon, and T loops). Further hydrogen bonds mediate the characteristic L-shaped molecular structure. tRNAs have two regions of fundamental functional importance: the anti-codon, which is responsible for specific mRNA codon recognition, and the 3' end, to which the tRNAs corresponding amino acid is attached (by aminoacyl-tRNA synthetases). tRNAs cope with the degeneracy of the genetic code in two manners: having more than one tRNA (with a specific anti-codon) for a particular amino acid; and 'wobble' base-pairing, i.e. permitting non-standard base-pairing at the 3rd anti-codon position. The record is from Rfam by way of RNAcentral. Lineage: Eukaryota; Metazoa; Chordata; Mammalia; Rodentia; Sciuridae.
GGGGUUGUGGCUCAGUGGUAGAGCCCUCGCCUCUUACAUGUGAGACCCUGGGUUCAAUCCUCAGCACCA